GCCCGAUCUCGUAUGAUCUCGGAAGCUAAACAGAGUUGGGCUGGGUCAGUACUUGGAUGGGUGACCGCCUGGGAAUACCCGGUGCUGUAAGCAUUUUGUUUCCUUCUUAAUUAGCAAAAUGAAGACAUAAUUAGAACAGUCCGCGUAUAUUAAGAAAAGACAAUUCAUUGUGUUUUACUUUAAUAAACAGCAAGUGUAUAUGCUCUAUUUAGAUUACGGCCAUACCACCCUGACAACGCCCGAUCUCGUCUGAUCUCGGAAGCUAAGCAGAGUUGGGCUGGGUCAGUACUUGGGUGGAUGACUGCCUGGGAAUACCCCGUGCUGUAAGCAUUUUGUUUCCUUCUUAAUUAGCUAAAUGAAGACAUGAAUAGAACUGUCCGCGUAUAUUAAGAAAAGACAAUUCAUUGUGUUUUACCUUCAAUAAACAGCAAGUGUAUAUGCUGUAUUUCAGAUUACGGCCAUACCACACUGACAAUGCCCGAUCUCGUCUGAUCUCGGAAGCUAAGCAGAGUUGGGCUAGAUUACGGCCAUACCACACUGACAAUGCCCGAUCUCGUCUGAUCUCGGAAGCUAAGCAGAGUUGGGCUGGAUUACGGCCAUACCACACUGACAACGCCCGAUCUCGUCUGAUCUCGGAAGCUAAGCAGAGUUGGGCUGGGUCAGUACUUGGAUGGGUGACCGCCUGGGAAUACCCGGUGCUGUAAGCAUUUUGUUAACCUUCUUAAUUAGCAAAAUGAAGACAUGAAUAGAACUGUCCGCGUAUAUUAAGAAAAGACAAUUCAUUGGUUUUACCUUCAUAUAACAGCAAGUGUAUAUGCUCUAUUUAGAUUACGGCCAUACCACACUGACAACGCCCGAUCUCGUCUGAUCUCGGAAGCUAAGCAGAGUUGGGCUGGGUCAGUACUUGGAUGGGUGACCGCCUGGGAAUACCCGGUGCUGUAAGCAUUUUGUUUACCUUCUUAAUUAGCAAAAUGAAGACAUGAAUAGACUGUCCGCGUAUAUUAAGAAAGACAAUUCAUUGUGUUUUACCUUCAUAUAAACAGCAAGUGUAUAUGCUCUACUUUAGAAUUACGGCCAUACCACACUGACAACACCCGAUCUCAUCUGA
RNAcentral lists this long non-coding RNA (1108 nucleotides) under Cottoperca gobio. Lineage: Eukaryota; Metazoa; Chordata; Actinopteri; Perciformes; Bovichtidae. The record is from RNAcentral.